This 414-nucleotide ribosomal RNA is filed under the name Salmonella enterica subsp. enterica serovar Enteritidis. RNAcentral describes it as "partial 23S ribosomal RNA". It matches the Rfam family "Bacterial large subunit ribosomal RNA", at positions 128 to 582 of the family's 2925-position model. Lineage: Bacteria; Pseudomonadati; Pseudomonadota; Gammaproteobacteria; Enterobacterales; Enterobacteriaceae. The record is from RNAcentral.
CCAGUGUGACUCGUCACACUAUCAUUAACUGAAUCCAUAGGUUAAUGAGGCGAACCGGGGGAACUGAAACAUCUAAGUACCCCGAGGAAAAGAAAUCAACCGAGAUUCCCCCAGUAGCGGCGAGCGAACGGGGAGGAGCCCAGAGCCUGAAUCAGCAUGUGUGUUAGUGGAAGCGUCUGGAAAGGCGCGCGAUACAGGGUGACAGCCCCGUACACAAAAGCGCAUGUGCUGUGAGCUCGAUGAGUAGGGCGGGACACGUGGUAUCCUGUCUGAAUAUGGGGGGACCAUCCUCCAAGGCUAAAUACUCCUGACUGACCGAUAGUGAACCAGUACCGUGAGGGAAAGGCGAAAAGAACCCCGGCGAGGGGAGUGAAAAAGAACCUGAAACCGUGUACGUACAAGCAGUGGGAGCAC